AUGUUUAAUUGCAUAGGAAAUUGGAAUGAUCCGAGAUCCGAGAUCCGAGAUCCGAGAUCCGAGAUCCGAGAUCCGAGAUCAUAACAUCAUAACUUUAAUCACAGUGUCUUUAUUAGAACAAUCUCUGUUGAAACCUACACAUUAGUGUUCUCUAACUAAGGACUUUCUCGACCGACUGGUAUCCUAGGAGAGGGAGGCUGGUACCAGGCACGUCUUCAUGGAAGAUUUUUGGGGUACUAUUCAGCACAAAAAUUUGCAGUUAUAUUCUGUGUGCACGAUUCAUCCUGUAGUUUAGACUGAAGCUGCUUAGUGCUGUUGCAGGCACCGAAAUAAACAACAGCAAAUCAACAUGCCUGUAUUUCUGAUUUGCAUAUAAUGAUAAGAAUAAAAAAACAAUGGUUUCCUAUGUGAGACGAUUUCUGCAAAUGUCUGCAGAAUUGUGAAUUCUGACACCGACAUCACCCUAUUCGACCGACCAUUGCGUAUCGCAGUCGGCAGUGGGGUCAAGCAGGGCGACCCGAUAUCGCCCAAGCUGUUCACCGCCUGCCUGGAGCACGUAUUCCGCCAGCUCAACUGGGACAACACCGGAAUUUACCAGAAUGGAAGAGACUGGAUUAAAAACGUUCACAGCAGGAUCUUCUACCAAGCAGUACUUCAGUUUAAGUUACAGAGACAUUUCUACACGUUCUUACAAAAGCUGCUUAUCGCUUUAGAAUCUAUUCCACUUGCUUCUUUAAAUUACUGUUCUAACACCGAUAAACCAGAUGUCCAUCACUUACUCACCAAUCCUCCAGAUCAACGAACCAUCUCAAUGGAUCCAAUAGAAAAUCUAUUCUGGGUACAAAUUUCACCGCUGGACAUCUAAAGAUCUGCUUCAAACUGUCACCACCGAAGCCAGUUUCUUGAUCUAUUACGGACCACUGCAUCGGAGACUUUAAACUUCAAUCUCAGGUCACGUAUUCCAUACAUUCAAAGCACGUAAAAUAUCGUAUUAAUCAUACUAAUUGCCCUUUCUGCAACUAAUUGCCCUUUCUAGUUGCCUGUCGAGGCAUCCUGCAGUUCGUGUGGACCCCAAACAUCGGUCUCGGCUGACUAUCGAGGCGUCCUGCUGCAGUUCAUAUGGAUCUUGGGCUUCAGUCUCUGGUCACGUAUCUGGGUCCUGGUUCUGUAAGACUCCAAGAUCUCCAAAAAGGCGACUCUUCUUCCUCGAACUACUCAUGCCAUUCCUUCAGGAUUGGAGGUGCAACCACAGAUGCUCAGCGAAACAUUCCUGCGCAUCUCAUAAAAAAAUAAAAGCUUAGUCGGUGGUCUUCAGAUGCUUAUAACAUCUUGCUCAUCUUACAUUUGCAUUUUACAGCAUUCCGUCAAAAUCGGGCCUUAGUCUUUUUAAACUAUUUUAUGCAAGGUUGUCUUUAAUUUGAGCAAUUUUUUUUACUUCAGUAUUUGUUUAUGUUAUACUGUGCACUAGAUGUACUAAAAUUCAGUAUGUCGGCUCUAGCUCUUUACCUAAGAACUAAUGAGCAAAGGUUGUGACCCUUUAAAUCCCACUAGGUUGCACUGAUGCAAAUUAAAAUGGGUCCAAUCUGGGUUGCCAAUUGCUAACCACCUCACAUAAGUGAGUGUUAUUUUGUGGAUUGAGCCGAAGUAUUUGCUCAAUGCAACAGAACUAAGUUUAGUACUAAUACUUUAUUAAACUUAGAUUAACAGUUACCAUUACAGAAAAGGUAAGAGAUAUGCAUGUCCUAAUAUGACCUUAAGUUAACGAAAAUAUAGACACAUUAUGUUAGCAUAGCAACACAGACAAGCUUGUUAAGAAAUUUUUAAAAAAAGUACCAAUUCCUGUGUAUGUUGGGACAGUUGGUCAGAAAGCUGUAAAUCAUUUGUUUUUCAUUACAAAUUGAAGUGCACCAUAGGGUUUUAAAAUGUUUGUUUUUAAGAAGUAUGGAGUAAACAUGCUGUAUUUUACUUUAAUGUGUGUUUCAUACUGCAAUUUCAGCCUGUAUAGCAUGAGCAGUAUCUGUCUUUAGGAAAAAAUGUUUUAGUCUGACUUGCAACUCUUCCCAGUGUAAAUAGUUCUUAUCAGGAAUAAAGUACUUUGACAGCCUUAUGCAGAUUCAUUGGAGUCCAAGAGGCUAUUUAACCAAUGUGUCACUUGUGACAUGCUGCAGACCCUGAGACACACAGAAUCUGAGCAGAUAAACUUUAAUUGGAUGAUUCCAACAACAACACACCUAUGCAACACACCUUCUUGAGGCCCUGUGGAUCAGCGCCAGCCUUUAGGCCUGCAUUUGCUUCAUUUUGACUUUCCUUAGGAUAAAGCAAGACCAGGAUAAGAACCUAACAACAGCAGCUACUGUAUAUGCGGCAACCAAAAGACUUCUCUUCAACAACCGCAGAACUCUGCCAAAAUUUAGGAACAGUAAGAACAGUUGAAAUAGUAUUCUGUUAAUGCCACUAUACUGGGCUUGAUCCUCAAAAGACAUUGUUAUCUUAAGACAUGUCAAAACUGUGUUAUAUUGAACAUAACUGGAUUUUAGAUGUAAAUAUCUAUGCAUGUUAAACCAUUGAAUAUUAGUAUGAGUUCAUUUUAGAUCCUCGUUAAUAAACUAAUUACUACUUUAAA
Molecule: long non-coding RNA, 2623 nt
Organism: Acipenser ruthenus (sterlet)
Lineage: Eukaryota; Metazoa; Chordata; Actinopteri; Acipenseriformes; Acipenseridae
Exons: 2
Source: RefSeq, a predicted model, not a curated record